CUUCACACUUCACUGAUCACUCAACCAAAAUUCCAAAACCAUUAUUCCCAAGAAAGCGAGCAUUUAUUAUUUUCGGUCCCCUCGUGCCCGACAAACGACAUUAUCGAGCUUAUCAAUCAGAAAUUCAUUCGAUCCGGCUACUACAUUAGACGACAAGAUCUCGUUGCACCGAUGAAAAAUUUGUUGGAAGUGCUCCAUCGUUGUGUUGGAUCUCGAAAGUAACCUGAUCCCAAUCGAUAAGAAUUUUCCAUUUUCAGGAUAUGUACACAAAGGCAAUCUAGAUUCCCUACAAUCAGCGCCUUUACACGUUGCACGCGAUAUCGGGGAAGUGGAAGGAACUUUUUUUUUUGUAUCAGUUUUCUGUACCACUUUUCUUUCAGGAUGCUACCGGGUGAAAUUCUACGAAAUUUCUUCGCAAAGAAAGCGUUCGUGCCACUUUCACGCCAUCGAGUUUAACAACGUCGAGCUUCGAGUAUCAACUAGAGAAUACGUGGAGAAGAAUUUCCAUUUCAAUCUCCUUCUGGGAGAACGGGCUUCUCUUGGUUUCUGAACGAUGUCGCUCGAAGUUAAAGGUUACACGACAAGGGAGAGACGAUCGGCUAGCAGCGUACGACGACACGAUCCGAAAAAGGAAUUCGAAGAUUCGUACGUCGAGAUGCGGCGGCCUCGAGCCACUUUUCGAGGCCUGCGUGUCUCUCACGAGCAGCGUCCACGAAUUCCAGCCGAGCACGCACGGAGGACUCGCCUGGUUCUUAGCCUCCGACGGCGACCACUUGUUGCAUCGACCGGCCGACCUCCGUGGCGCGAGUGUGUUUCCUCUCGAUAUCUGCCUAAGAGAUACACUUGCAUCCUUGAACGUCGAAUUCGUUGGACAGUAAGCCUUUCCGAACGAAUCCUGCCGGAUGGAAUCGAGCGCCCGAAUAUGUCGGUCAAACACGGAUCGGUAAUUCGAAAACUCUCACGAAAUUCUGAUCAUCGUUUUACACCAGUUACUCGAUGUACUCGUUGAAAUUUUCUUAAUCAAAAAAUCUGGAGCCUAAAAAUCGAAGUUUCUAUAUAUUGUCGACGGCUGUCUUUUUUUUGUAGGAUAACUCCAAGAACUUGUCCUCGAAGAACACAGAAAAACGACACACUCUCUACAACUGUACAUCGAGCACUGAAUACCGAGUCUCGAUUCGUGUCCCCUCCAGAAUGGCCUACCCCACCACGGACCAUUUUACUGGACGAAGGGCUUGAGAACGCGUCUAGGCGUCGAAUAUACUUGGAAGUAUUACCACUGAACGACGAUGCUGUCGAUCCUUCUCAGGACCAAUUCACCGUAUAGACAUGAAAGGUGCUUUUUAUGUGAAAAGCAAAUAUUCUCUUCGCUUUUAUCUACGGUAAAUCGUUAUCUGGAUAUCGGGGAGACGUCACACGGAUGAGAUAUACAAACUGUACUACAACAGCAUGAAAAAGUGGAAUUUUAGUUGCGCAAGAUUCCUUCAAAAUGAAAAAUUCGUCACGAGAACAGAAACAGAAGCCAGUCAAGGAAGAAAAUUGAGAAACAACUGUUGGAGAGAGCAGCAUUGGUUGUUAAAGACACUGUACACGUUGCCUCUUAUAAUAGAGUGAUCGAGAACUCUGUAGAGCCAUCUACAAAGAUCCCCGUAACCGCAACAGUAAAAGAAGAUGAAAGAGAAACAGAGAUAAUUGGCGGGGAAUCAUGUGGUGGGGCUUAAGACAGUCUGUGCCAACUCUCUGGGAACGAGUACGUACACCGUCGAGGAUGGUUAGGCGAGUACAGAGAGGCGAGGAAGAGGAGGUAGAAGCUGCUUAAGGAGGCCACGGAAUCUGCAGACGUCUCAGCGUCGACCAGUUUUCUCAUACGGUCGACAUAUGGUAUAUACUAUACACGGUGGUCUAAACAUUCCUGGAAUGAAUCUCUACCUGAGAUGAACCCUUCAUCUGUCUUUCAAUGAAACAUCAAUUAUUGCAAUUAACUUUAGGCUUUAGCAACAACAGUAAAAAUGCGUACUGUUCUUUAAAUUGCUUUUAGAUCCGUGCAGAUUGCGAAUUCUACGAUGUAGAAUGUAACAUCGGUUUCUAAGUAUUGUCGAGCCAAGUACGGCAUGACUCAAGUAUUGGCAAGGUCUGGGUUAAACCUGGCUAAGAUUAGACCGGGUCUAGGUUGGAUCUGCUUAUAUAUAUAUAAAUGUCAUAUUGAAAUGAAAUAUUAUAUCUCUGCCAAAUGUUUGUUACAUUUGUUACGGUUAUCUAGAACUGAAAUAGAACAAGACUAGAUUCGGUGGAAACACACAAAGAGAGAAGUCAGUCUGUUUCCAUGGAACGACCGAAUCGAUGACUCGACUCUGACGAUUGCAAUCUGAUAAGGGUCGGUUUCGUGGCGAGAAACAAUGACGACUCACCGGGUCUUUGGGGGCUUGUUCGUGAUCGGUACAGAAGUGGCUGUUGCCCGUUUAAACGGUGCCCGAUCUCCCGAACCCAUGGACAUUCCGCUUCGAGCCUGUCACAGACAAAAAGAACACAAUUAGCGGGCGGAACACACAUAGCAGAAGACUCGUCGAAUCGGUAAAAUGCGAUCAAACGAUACGUCGUUCACCCAUUCGUCGUACGUCACUUUCGAGAUACACGUCUCUCCCGGGUACAGGAAAACGCACGCGAACGUCUUUGGACUAAUAGCACAGGUGCAGCGUUGAAACCGCAAGUGUGACAUCCUUGACAAGGAAAAUUCACAAACGAGACGAUCCUUUAACCUACGACGCACGCACAACAUUUUCCAUUGGGACUGCACCUCCCGAGCGCGCAGAGAGCUCGACGGAAUUCGAAGUGAACCUGAUAAGAGAAGCCACGACCUGAUGCAAUAUUUGAGAAUAUCCGUUGGCCAAUAGAUAAAGCACCAUAAAGCAGCGUGAACGAGCGAGUCGAAGAAGUUAGUUACAAUGUGUUGAACAAGUACCGGUUCCCUUCCCCAGGAGAACUGGCGAGACCCAAUGGAUUUUCAGCGAAUAUACACUUGGGAGAGUUUCAAUCAGAAGGGUACAUGUCCGUAUACAUAGCUGUAAAGGUUCAUCGAACCUUCGCCGCGCGUACGGGUUCUCGGCCAAUAAUAAAGAUGCAUGCCCGGUACGUAACUACGUUCUGCACAUACGUACGUAUUAUCCUGCACCCGUGGCCGCUCGCUCCACGCGAAAUACUCUCCCAGCGAACACGCUAAAACGAUAUAUACGCGUUUUCAGGUUGUCCAUCCUUCUACAGGAUAUUCCCACAACAAAAC
Long non-coding RNA from Frieseomelitta varia, 3274 nucleotides. RefSeq lists it as uncharacterized. NCBI's taxonomy places the organism in Eukaryota, Metazoa, Arthropoda, Insecta, Hymenoptera, Apidae. The transcript is spliced from 5 exons. The record is from RefSeq and is a predicted model, not a curated record.